Molecule: ribosomal RNA, 253 nt
Filed under: uncultured bacterium
Lineage: Bacteria
Description: partial 16S ribosomal RNA
Rfam family: Bacterial small subunit ribosomal RNA
Source: RNAcentral
UACGGAGGGAGCUAGCGUUGUUCGGAAUUACUGGGCGUAAAGCGCGCGUAGGCGGCUUUGUAAGUUAGAGGUGAAAGCCCGGGGCUCAACCCCGGAAUUGCCUUUAAGACUGCAUCGCUUGAAUCUGGGAGAGGUGAGUGGAAUUCCGAGUGUAGAGGUGAAAUUCGUAGAUAUUCGGAAGAACACCAGUGGCGAAGGCGGCUCACUGGACCGGCAUUGACGCUGAGGUGCGAAAGCGUGGGGAGCAAACAGG